RNAcentral lists this ribosomal RNA (253 nucleotides) under uncultured bacterium. Its description in RNAcentral is "partial 16S ribosomal RNA". It matches the Rfam family "Bacterial small subunit ribosomal RNA", at positions 524 to 776 of the family's 1533-position model. The record is from RNAcentral.
UACGUAGGGGGCAAGCGUUGUCCGGAAUCAUUGGGCGUAAAGAGCGCGUAGGCGGCCCAGCAAGUCCGCUCUGAAAGUCAGGGGCUCAACCCCUGGAUGCGGGUGGAUACUGCUGGGCUAGAGUCCGGAAGAGGUGAGUGGAAUUCCUGGUGUAGAGGUGAAAUUCGUAGAUAUUGGGUGGAACACCGGUGGCGAAAGCGGCUCUCUGGUCCGGACCUGACGCUGAGGCGCGAAAGCGUGGGGAGCAAACAGG